Molecule: long non-coding RNA, 318 nt
Organism: Oncorhynchus tshawytscha (Chinook salmon)
Lineage: Eukaryota; Metazoa; Chordata; Actinopteri; Salmoniformes; Salmonidae
Source: Ensembl
GAGAGAGAGAGAGAGAGAAAGAGAUGGAGACACAGCUAUACAUAGAGAAGAAGAGAGAUGGAGAUGGAGACACAGCUAUACAUAGGGAGUGAGAGAGAGAGAGAGAGAGAGAAAGAGAUGGAGAUGGAGACACAGCUAUACAUAGGGAUGGAGAUGGAGACACAGAGAGAGAGAGAGAGAGAGAGAUGGAGAUGGAGACACAGCUAUACAUAGAGAGUGAGAGAGAGAGAGAGAGAAAGAGAUGGAGAUGGAGACACAGCUAUACAUAGGGAGUGAGAGAGAGAGAGAGAGAGAAAGAGAUGGAGAUGGAGACACAGC